AUGAUGCACGGGCCUUGCAGAGUGGCAAAUACGAAAUCAUCAUGCAUGACGGAUAACAGAUGCACGAAGCAUUUCCCAAAAAGAUACACUAUCGAUACCACAAUAGAUGAGGUUGGCUUUCCAGUAUAUAGAAGACGAGACAAUGGAAGGCAGGUCAAAAAGAGAAAUGCAGUGCUUGACAACAGAUUUGUCGUGCCUUACAACCGAAAUCUAUUGGUCAAAUUCCAAGCUCACAUAAAUGUCGAGUGGUGCAACAGGUCCAGGUCAAGCAAGUUUCUAUUUAAGCACAUCCUUAUAGACGAUGACCAAGUAACAACCUUGCUCAAAGAAAGGGAUGUCGCAAAUGAUUAUGAUGAAAUCAGGAAAUACCUAGAACUUAAUUUCUCUCAAAGUCGAAUUGGAUCGAGAAUGAAUCACAAGCUCACUCUUAUUAGGAAAUUUCAUGGUAGUUUAUUGGUAAUAAGUUCACUGAGUGGAUGGAGCCAAACAAAAUAUAUGAUCAAGGAAAAUAAUUAA
Molecule: ribosomal RNA, 516 nt
Filed under: Triticum aestivum (bread wheat)
Lineage: Eukaryota; Viridiplantae; Streptophyta; Magnoliopsida; Poales; Poaceae
Description: partial small subunit ribosomal RNA
Source: RNAcentral